This is a long non-coding RNA of Schistocerca nitens (vagrant locust), 475 nucleotides long. RefSeq lists it as uncharacterized. Lineage: Eukaryota; Metazoa; Arthropoda; Insecta; Orthoptera; Acrididae. The record is from RefSeq and is a predicted model, not a curated record. The transcript has 3 exons.
UGCUCAUCCGUCUGCUGGAGCCGGAGCCGCGCGCACGCCUGCGCUCGCUGCUCGCCCUCCAGCAGCAGCCCUUCUUCAAGGACUUCUCUUUCGUCGACGCCAGGUCCAAGAAGUUUCAUCCACUCCAAAUACUGGAAAAAUACUUUCCUGACGGGCCUGUAACAUCAUCUGAUUUUGUGUCAGAUGAUACUUCAUUUAGAGAUUUUUCUCCAGACUCAAAAUGAUGGUAUUUUGAUCUGUGUUUCCUUCAGAAGUGGCAGUUCUGCAUCAAUAAGGAGGUAUCAUUUAUUUUUAUGUAAUCAUACAAUACAAACAGUUUCUGCACUAUGGACAGAAAUUGUCAUCUGUGAAUACAAGAAGUUACCAAAAGAACUUUUAGGUACUAAUAAAGUGUAACUUUUGUCAAUUAUCCUUUCUUUUAUGGUUACCUCUUUUAAAUGUUACCAAAUGUCUAAAAUAAUCCAAACCACCAAUG